RNAcentral lists this ribosomal RNA (484 nucleotides) under uncultured bacterium. RNAcentral's name for it is "partial 16S ribosomal RNA". It matches the Rfam family "Bacterial small subunit ribosomal RNA", at positions 30 to 507 of the family's 1533-position model. The record is from RNAcentral.
AUUGAACGCUGGCGGCAGGCCUAACACAUGCAAGUCGAGCGGAUGAAGGGAGCUUGCUCCUGGAUUCAGCGGCGGACGGGCGAGUAAUGCCUAGGAAUCUGCCUGGUAGCUGGGGAUAACGUCCGGAAACGGGCGCUAAUACCGCAUACGUCCUGAGGGCGAAAGGGGGGGAUCUUCGGACCUUACGCUAUUAGAUGAGCCUAGGUCGGAUUAGCUAGUUGGUGGGGUAAAGGCCUACCAAGGCGACGAUCCGUAACUGGUCUGAGAGGAUGAUCAGUCACACUGGAACUGAGGCACGGUCCAGACUCCUACGGGAGGCAGCAGUGGGGAAUAUUGGACAAUGGGCGAAAGCCUGAUCCAGCCAUGCCGCGUGUGUGAAGAAGGUCUUCGGAUUGUAAAGCACUUUUGGUUGGGAGGAAGAGCAGUAAGUUAAUACCUUGCUGUUUUGACGUUACCAACAGAAUAAGCACCGGCUAACUUCGUG